This 64-nucleotide transfer RNA is filed under the name Chlorarachnion reptans. The record is from RNAcentral. Lineage: Eukaryota; Cercozoa; Chlorarachniophyceae.
AUUUAGAACGAUUGCGAAAUUGUUGCUAGAACGUAAAAGAUUGCUUAAAAUGCUAAAAUUAGUA